CAGAUGUGCCUGUGCAGCCAUCACCAUCUCAAGUCGGAAACUCUUCGUAUGAUGAUCGUGCAAGAUCGGAUUCCAGUCGUGGGUUUUCACAAGAUCGUGGUUACGUGGGAAACUCGUGGAAAGUCCCGCCUCGUGCCGCAGGACGCACUAUCACGUGGACAGAUUAUGACCCGAAUGUGAGCUUGGAUGAACAAAAGAAGCGAUUUAAAAAUCUACAUAAAGUUUUGAAAA
Molecule: non-coding RNA, 231 nt
Organism: Paramuricea clavata
Lineage: Eukaryota; Metazoa; Cnidaria; Anthozoa; Malacalcyonacea; Plexauridae
Source: the annotation of a GenBank genome assembly